CCAAGCCGAAGGCAGAUGCUUAACCGACUGAGCCACCCAGGCACCCCAAGCUUAAUUUCUUUUUAAAAAGAACUGCAUUCUACUACUACAGAGUAGUAGAAAGAAAAUCAUUUCUUAUAUUCUAAAGUUAAAUAGAAUGACAUUCGGAUUAUUGGUUAUUUGGGGUUUGCCAUUGGACCAGACAAUUGGAAGUUGGCUACCAGGAGAUCUGUGUGUAAUAAUAGUUCUGCUUGUGACGUUGUGCAGCUCACUUAACCUCUGAGGACCUUGUUUUGUUCAUCAGGACAGCACAUGUAUGUAGUGGGGAGGGUGGAAGAUGAUUGUGGCAAGGAUCCAUAGAAAUGGCUUCUAAGGUCUCUUCUUGCCCAGACAUGCUUGGACUUGAACUUUCUGAUCCAUCCCAGAGUGUCUUAAAGAAAGCAGAAUAGUGUAAUGACUAAAAAUGUGGGUCUGGGACUCAGUGUAUUUGUUUAGAUGCCUUUGGUUCAGGCAAUAGAAAUCUAAAGUCAGUUGGUUUUAACAAAAAGGGGAUUUACUGACUCAUGUAACUGAAAAGUCCAGAAGUGGGUCAGGUUUUUCAGGUAUUGUCUGAUCUAGAGAUUCUUAAUGUCUUCACAAAUAUGACUCCAUUUGUCUGAUUCUCUUUGCUCCGCUGUCUUCCAUGGGUAGCUUUAUCCUUGAGGUAGCAAGUGGCUGCAGCAUUUCAAGGCUUCAUAUCUGCACAUCACCGUAGUUCAGAACAAGAAAGAACGUUUCCAUCUUCAACCAUCAAAGUCCUGGGCUUUACUCUGAAUGGACCAACUAUGUCAUGUGCCCACUCUUCAUCCAGAGACCGACCAGGCGACACCAAGCGCUGAUCGGUUCAGGUCAAUUACGGCCCAAGUGUAGAAGUUAGGGGAGGAGAGUGUCAGCCCCACCCAAGUCACCAGGGUACUGCAUAGGAGGGCAAGAUAGAAUGGGUGUGGAGAAGUUUGACCAUAUUCUCCACUGUUACAGCCACGUUGCCCAUGAUCAAAUUCUGGCUCUGUUAGCUGUAUGUUCUUGGGGAAAUUGCCUAACUUUGUCAAGCAUCAGUUUCCUCAUCUCAGUUUUUCAAUUAAUAAUGUAUUAAAGCACUUAGUGUAAUUCUUGGCACUCCCUGAGUGUCAUGAUGACGAUGCUGAUGGGGAUGAUGAGAUUGAAGAGGGAUAGAGAUCAAUGGCUUUGGCCCCAAGUUAGAGAGCAGCCGAAUUAGAGGAAUGUUUGCUAGUCAGGAACACACACCUGCCAUGACGAGGGCUCCUGGUUGAUCUGCUGCCACAUUGCAUUCUUCCCCGUCUCUGCCCUUUCCUGCUCUUAUGCCCUGUGUAGAAAUGCUUUCGUUCCUCUCCCCUGCCCCUAAAUCUUUCUCCUACCUCAAGGCCCAGCCUGAGUGCCACUGUUACAGUAGCUUAGGUCCGUGUUUGUGUAGACAUAUAACUGAGUCUCCCCCAUGAGCAGGACCAGUUGGGGUUAAGAGCUUAGGUCUGGAUUAGACAGACCUGGGUUUGCUGCCCCGAAGCAGGAUAACUUCGGGAAAGUUGUUCAACCAUUCUGUACCUUAGUUUCCUCAUCUAUCAACAGGGUAUUCGUAGGACCUUCCUCAGAGUUGUGGAGAGAAUGAAAUGAUGUUCUGUAUGGAGGGAGCUUAGUUCAGUGCUGACACAGCGAAUAAUACGUUUUAUUAUUCCUGGCCUCAUGAGGACACGGUCUGGGUUACAUUCUCUGCAGAGGUGACUGCCACACACUGGGCAUGUGCCAUCAAGUUCAGCACUGUCCAGGUCGUUGUGUGUUUCAACUGGUGAUGAAAUGGGGGUGAACCAGUCCAUGGGCUUCCCACCUGUCACAGGACCCCACCUCGUAGGCUGCGGGGAUGUGAUGGAGGGCCAGGGUCUCCAGGGGAGCUUCUUUAGACUCUUCUACCCCUGCCAAGAGGCAGAGGAGACCACGGAGCAGCCCCUGUGGAUUCCCCGCUAUGAGUACUGCACCGGCCUGGCCGAUUACCUGCACUUGAAUAAGCGCUGGGGGGGGUUGCUGUUCAGCUUGGCUGUGGGAUCUUGUCGCCUGCCUGUUAGCUGGAAUGGCCCCUUUAAGACAAAGGACUCUGGAUACCCCUUGAUCAUCUUCUCCCAUGGCAUGGGAGCCUUCAGGACGCUGUAUUCAGCCUUCUGCAUGGAGCUGGCCUCCCACGGCUUUGUGGUGGCUGUCCCGGAACACAGGGACGGGUCAGCCGCGGCCACCUGUUUCUGCAAGCAGGGGGAGAGCCAGCUGACCCAUGAGCCGCUGGAGGAAGAAUGGAUCCCUCACCGUCAGAUUGAAGAAGGGGAGGAGGAAUUCUAUGUCCGGAAUUGCCAGGUGCAUCAGAGGGUAAGCGAGUGUACACGGGUGUUGAGGAUCCUGCAAGAGGUCACUGCUGGGCAGAUCGUCCCCAACAUCUUGCCCGAUGGGUUGGAUCUGAUGACCUUGAAGGGCAGCAUCAACAUGAGCCGCGUGGCUGUGAUGGGACAUUCAUUUGGCGGGGCCACAGCUGUCUUGGCUUUGGCCAAGGAGACCCAGUUUCGGUGUGCUGUGGCUCUGGAUGCUUGGAUGUUUCCUCUGGAACAUGACUUUUACCCCAAAGCCCAAGGCCCCGUGUUCUUUAUCAAUGCUGAGAAAUUCCAGACAAUGGAGAGUGUCAAUUUGAUGAAGAAGAUAUGUGCUCGGCAUGAACAGUCCAGGAUCAUAACUGUCCUUGGUUCUGUUCAUCGGAGUCAAACUGACUUUGCUUUUGUGGCUGGCAACUGGAUUGGUAAAUUCUUCUCCACUCAAACCCGUGGGAGCUUGGACCCGUAUGAAGGUCAAGAGAUUAUGGUGAGGGCCAUGUUGGCCUUCCUGCAGAAGCACCUAGACCUGAAAGAGGAUUAUGGCCGGUGGAACAACCUCAUUGAAGGCAUCGGACCAUCGCUCAUCCCAGGGGCCCCAUGCCAUCUGUCCAGCCUGUAGGCACAACCAGCCGUUUGUGAAAGGUCACUGAGCUGAGCUCCCAUCUGGGGCCUGCCCGGGGACACCCGUAGCCUCCUAUCAAGAAGUGGUUGAUGUGACCCUUCUUCACAGAUUGAGAGGAUGUAAUCACGCUGCUGAUUGGAUAACUGGGAAAGGAAAUCUUCCUGGAGAUCUAACUCAAAGCUGCCUGGGAACAUCAGCCUGAAACUCUCCUCUCCACUCCUCUAGACUUCAUGCCCCAGCCCAGGUAGGGGACCCCAGAUGAGGCAGGAGCAAAAGGGAAAUGCAUCUCUACACAGUAGAUCAAAGGUCAGUGCCAGCAAAGCAAGCUGGGACCCAUGUCUCCCUUCUCAACAGCUAUUCUUUGUAAGACGUGAAACAUCAGAUCCACUGAGGCUGUGGACCUUGGGAGUAUCUGAUGAAUUCCGGUGAGACGGAGUGUGAGGAGAAUAUCAUUAUUGAAGCACCGGGCUCUAGAAUUCUGUAUCCUGGUUUUGAGUCCUGGCUCUACUACUACUAACUGCAUAAAUUUGAGCAAAUUGUAUUCUCUUUCCAUUCUCAGUUCCUGAAUUUCUAAAACGGGAAUCUGCAUCAUGAAUUAAGAGGAUUAAGCGUAAGGAUGUGUGACCCAUGGAUUAUUUAAAAGUAUGUUUCUUAAUUUCCAAAUACGUGAGAUUUUUGUAGUUAUCUUAUAGCUUUUGUUUUCUGACUUUAUUGCUUUGUGGCCAAAGAAAAUAACCCAUAUGGUCUUCAUCCUUCCAAGAUUUGUUGAAAUUUGCUUUUUGGCCCAGUGUAAGGUCAGUUUUAAAAAUAUUCCGUAUAUGAUUUAAAAGACUGUCCAUUUUGAA
Molecule: RNA transcript, 3848 nt
Organism: Ailuropoda melanoleuca (giant panda)
Lineage: Eukaryota; Metazoa; Chordata; Mammalia; Carnivora; Ursidae
Gene: PAFAH2
Gene name: platelet activating factor acetylhydrolase 2
Exons: 12
Source: RefSeq, a predicted model, not a curated record